GUUAGACAGAGUUUGAGUAGUGAGGCACAUCAAGUCAGUGAACUCUCUUAUCGAAGUAACUACCUGUAUGAUCAACUAACAUUAACCCGUGAAAGCUCACGCCUAAUCUACUUUAUCUUGCCUUACAAAGUAUGUCUAUAACCAUUAUGUCUCAUUAAGAAAAAAAAGUGCUGUUUAUCUAUGCCACAAAGUUUGACAUUGAAAAGCCUGUACUCGCU
Molecule: non-coding RNA, 218 nt
Organism: Pelobates cultripes (western spadefoot toad)
Lineage: Eukaryota; Metazoa; Chordata; Amphibia; Anura; Pelobatidae
Source: the annotation of a GenBank genome assembly